RNAcentral lists this long non-coding RNA (1766 nucleotides) under Papio anubis (olive baboon). RNAcentral describes it as "lncRNA (ENSPANG00000037306.1)". Lineage: Eukaryota; Metazoa; Chordata; Mammalia; Primates; Cercopithecidae. The record is from RNAcentral.
GCCUCCAUGCUGAGAAAGCCAGCCGACUCAGAGUUUUUCAGCAUGUCAGGGAGCCUGCAGCGGCAAUCCAGUUCCUUCAAAGGGUCGGUGGAUUCUCUCAGCUUUUCUGGAGAAGAGAGAAUUUCGAAUGUUCCCAACACAAGGAUAUGGUAAAUAUUUGAGGUAGGAUUGAAGGCUGAAUGUUUGGGAAGUGUGCAUUUGGGAAGUCUCAGUGCUUGGGAAGGAUCAGACAUUUCUUAUGAAUGGGACAUACACCACAUGAACAAGAUGUGGAAGAACCACCUGAGGAGAAAUCAGGCUAUUAUCUGGGGCUUGCUGCAGAUAAUCAACAUUUAAAAAAUACAGAUAAACUCCAGACUAGUCUUCCAGGUGAAACUCCCGGGAGAGAACCUAAGGGAAAUAUUAUGUCUUUGAUUAUUGGGAAACUGGGAAUUAGAUAACUUUAGACUCUACUCUGGUUCCAGAAUCAUACCAAUUUGGUUUAAUACAGAGAUCAGAAACUGAGAGUGCCACUGUUUGCUACAGGAAUACCUUACCUUCAUUUUACAACCAAGAACUCAGCUACUACCAUUCCCAUCAAGAAAACUCCCAUGGUCUCUCUCUCUCUCCACAUGUCCUAGUUCCAAAUGCAAUUUUCGUAACAGUAUAUGGGAUAGGCAGAAUCUAAUUCAUAUCUGGAACCCAAGCUUCAUGAAUGUGUUUAAAUGUUCCUAAGUUUUCUAUUCUAUGCAGUAUAGAAGAUCGGCAUAGAUGCUGAACAAACCUGACUACUGGAUUGGGUGUCCUUUAUCAUUUUACAAUUUUAAACUAUGAGAUUAUAUUAGUUAUUUAAAAAAUUAAAUAAAAAUUCAAACAUCCUGACGAGUAUCUACUACUGGCUAUGAUAAAGUGCUCUACUGCUAAACCUACCCCUAUCACCAUCAACAAUUAUAAGACUGGACAAAAUCUCUGAAACAAGUGUUUCAAAGGCAGUGCAGGACUUUGAGCCUUGUGAGAAUAUAAUCCCAUAAGAUGAGUCCAACUUCUGCCUGGGUCACUUUUUUGGAUUAUGGCACAGGGAAGUGAAGUACAAACAGCAGUAACUUAUCAAGGAACUAAAAGUCUGCACUGAAUCUUCCAGACCUUUAGGAAAGAAAUCAUAUUAAAAUUAUACAGAGUCCCUCAGAAAAUAGAAAAAUAGAAAUUAGAAAAGAAGAACACAUUUUGAAAGAUCAACUUAACCCUAGUAUCUACCAAUAAUACAAGAGAACAUUGCAAGACAAGAAAAUUAUAAACCCAUUUUCUCAUUUAUAUAUGCAAAAACUCAUCGUAUAUUAGCAUAUUGAAUGGGUAAUACAUCCUGACCAAGAGGGUUUAAUCUAAUGAAUGCAAGAUUGGUUUAAUAUUCAAAAACUAGCGAAUAAAAUUUACCACAUUGAAAGACUGUAGGAGUAAAAUCAUGUGAUCAUCUCAAUAGAUUCACAAAAGAUAAUCACUUGACAAAAUUCAACACCAAUUCAUAAUAAAAACACAUACACACACACUGAAAAGUAGGAAUAGAAGGAAACUUAAUGAAAGACGUUUAUGAAAAUCCUAUGGCUAAUAUUAUACUUACUGAAGACCAAAUGAUUUCCCCUAAGUUCAGGAAAAAAGCAAGGAUGUGUGAUCUCAUCAUUUUGAUUCCAUAUUUUUUGAAGGUUCUAGCCAAUACAAAAAGCAAUAUAUAGAAGAGGCAUCAAGAUUGGAAAGAAGAAAGUAAAAUUGUCUCUAUUCACAAAAAAGUGAGC